This 440-nucleotide ribosomal RNA is filed under the name uncultured bacterium. RNAcentral describes it as "partial 16S ribosomal RNA". It matches the Rfam family "Bacterial small subunit ribosomal RNA", at positions 338 to 795 of the family's 1533-position model. The record is from RNAcentral.
CCUACGGGAGGCAGCAGUGGGGGAUAUUGCACAAUGGGGGAAACCCUGAUGCAGCGACGCCGCGUGAGUGAAGAAGUAUUUCGGUAUGUAAAGCUCUAUCAGCAGGGAAGAAAAUGACAGUACCUGACCAAGAAGCCCCGGCUAACUACGUGCCAGCAGCCGCGGUAAUACGUAGGGGGCAAGCGUUAUCCGGAUUUACUGGGUGUAAAGGGAGCGUAGACGGUCUGACAAGUCAGAUGUGAAAUCCGGGGGCUCAACCCCCGAACUGCAUUUGAAACUGUUGGUCUUGAGUAUCGGAGAGGCAGGCGGAAGUCCUAGUGUAGCGGUGAAAUGCGUAGAUAUUAGGAGGAACACCAGUGGCGAAGGCGGAUUGCUGGACAGUAACUGACGCUGAGGCGCGAAAGCGUGGGGAGCAAACAGGAUUAGAUACCCUUGUAGUC